UCUGGGCGUAAGCGCGCGUANGCGGCUUGUUACACCCAUGUGAAAUCCCUGGGCUCAACCUAGGAAUUGCGUUUGAUACUGUCAGGCUAGAGUGCGGUAGAGGGUGGUGGAAUUCCCGGUGUAGCAGUGAAAUGCGUAGAUAUCAGGAGGAACACCGAUGGCGAAGGCAGCCCCCUGGAUCUGUACUGACGCUCAUGCGCGAAAGCGUGGGGAGCAAACCGGAUUAGAUACCCUGGUAGUCCACGCCCUAAACGAUGGGUACUAGGCGUCUGGUGUUUCUUGGCGCUGAAUGCCAAACCUAACGCGUGACGUCCCCCGCCUGGGGACUACGGGCUC
Molecule: ribosomal RNA, 336 nt
Filed under: uncultured bacterium
Lineage: Bacteria
Description: bacterial SSU rRNA
Rfam family: Bacterial small subunit ribosomal RNA
Source: RNAcentral